UCUCCGUUGGUGAACCAGCGGAGGGAUCAUUACUGAGUCAAAGACUCUCAACCACUGUGAAAACACCUCUUUGUUGCUUCGGCGUUGACGGACCUUUCCGGGGGGGAGGCGGCCUACCGUGCUUCGGCGCGGGCGGCUUAGCGGAGCCCCCGGAGGGAACGGAAGCGCCAGAAGCCCCCUAUCUCGGCUUCGGCCGAUUUAGACUCUUUUUAACUGGUUUACAUGCCUGUCUGAUUAUUGGUUACCAAAUUGAUACAUACAACUUUCAACAACGGAUCUCUUGGCUCUGGCAUCGAUGAAGAACGCAGC
This 309-nucleotide unclassified non-coding RNA is filed under the name uncultured fungus. RNAcentral describes it as "sequence contains ITS1, 5.8S rRNA gene". The stretch from base 261 to 309 matches the Rfam family "5.8S ribosomal RNA", at positions 1 to 49 of the family's 154-position model. The record is from RNAcentral. Lineage: Eukaryota; Fungi.